AUGCUUUGGGCGUGGUCGGCGAACCCCUCGGCCAUCCCCAAGGUGUUGCAAGUUACCAUUGCCCCCCGCGUGACCACGGGUGUUGGUGGUGCCCCGUCCACGGCUGUUGGGCAUCGGGGCAUCCGGCGUCGAGCUAUCGUUCAUCUGGACAAGCUGGAGGACUACACACCAGACGCGGCUGGCAACAUUCCACGUCGCCCGCACACUGAUCCCUUCACCUGGAGAUAUGGUGUGGUGGACGGCGAGUCAAGGGUUCGAGACAGGCGUGAACCUCCGCCUCGACAUCGGGAUGACGAUGACCGGCACCGCCGCGACGACGACCACGACAGGGACGACGACCGGCGAGGCCGCGACAACGACCGGCCACGCUCCUCCUGGCGCGACCGUAUCUUCCGGAGCCGCUCCCGCGCCCCGGAACGCCGGAUUGAAGAUGAUCGCCACGGUUCACGUCGCGAGGAGCGUGGCGGUGAUCGUGGCCGCGAUGGACGACGCCGCUCCGGGGCGGCUCGUGGCCGCUCGCUGCCACCUUCUCCUCGCACCACUUCGAGCGACAUCAUCGAGCUUGCUCCGACUGGUUCAGCCUUGGGCUGGCUCUGUGGUGCGGCUCGCAUGGUCACCAAGGUCCAGCCAUCUCUUACAAUGGAAGAGCACCACGCCCCCAGCAAGGAGUCCACACAUGCCCAAGUGGUGCUGGACACAACUCAGCUUCAGGCGACGCUGCCAGAGAUGGCUCCAUAUGCAGGGAUCUCCACGCCAGAGUUCGUUUUGGCUACCCCCACCCCACCACGCCUGGGAUCAGAGCCAGAAGAACCUGCCAUCCUCACUCCGGAGCUUGUCCUCGCCACUGCAACCCCUACUCAGGAUGAGGGGAAUGGAGAUCACACCGAUGAAGCCUUGACUGCUGCAGUUGCUACCAAUGCCUCUCCAGAGUCUGCAACUCCUAUCUUCAUCCCGUACAUGCCGGCGCUGCUCCCGUCGCCACGUUCGACGCCGCCCAGACCUCCAGCAGCUCGACGGAAGACGCUGGCCGGGGUGACCGGCUUCCAGUUGCCACGACAGAGCCCUCGUCUCCGAGCAAAGAAAAGGAAGAUACCCAUAGCAAAGCUUGCUGAACAACUUCUUUGUCGCCGCAUGAACAUUGUGGCUGAGGGCGAGCAGGUCACAGAAGCGGCGAUUGCAAAAUUCGCACAGAUGUUCCAAGGCCAACUGCCAGAUAUUGCCGUUGCGGCCCUCCGCGCGCUCUUCCAGCUGGACUGCGACCUCUCCUCAGCAGUGGAGGAGGCGCUGGUGCAGCAUGGUGGAGAAGGAGGUCCAGAGUUGGACGAGACUGCCUCCACGGGUGCCUGA
This 1347-nucleotide ribosomal RNA is filed under the name Triticum aestivum (bread wheat). RNAcentral's name for it is "partial small subunit ribosomal RNA". The record is from RNAcentral. Lineage: Eukaryota; Viridiplantae; Streptophyta; Magnoliopsida; Poales; Poaceae.